RNAcentral lists this ribosomal RNA (369 nucleotides) under uncultured phototrophic eukaryote. RNAcentral's name for it is "SSU rRNA". It matches the Rfam family "Bacterial small subunit ribosomal RNA", at positions 524 to 896 of the family's 1533-position model. The record is from RNAcentral.
UACGGGGGAUGCAAGCGUUAUCCGGAAUCAUUGGGCGUAAAGCGCCUGUAGGUUGUUUAAUAAGUCUGUUGUUAAAGACUAGGGCUCAACCCUAGAAAAGCAAUGGAAACUACUAGACUAGAGUAUGGCAGGGGUAGAGGGAAUUUCUAGUGUAGCGGUGAAAUGCGUAGAUAUUAGAAAGAACACCGGUGGCGAAAGCGCUCUACUGGACCAUUACUGACACUCAGAGGCGAAAGCUAGGGGAGCAAAAGGGAUUAGAUACCCCUGUAGUCCUAGCCGUAAACGAUGGAUACUAGAUGUUGCGCAAUUUGUGCAGUAUCUUAGCUAACGCGUUAAGUAUCCCGCCUGGGGAGUACGCUCGCAAGGGUG